Molecule: long non-coding RNA, 401 nt
Organism: Ruditapes philippinarum (Manila clam)
Lineage: Eukaryota; Metazoa; Mollusca; Bivalvia; Venerida; Veneridae
Exons: 3
Source: RefSeq, a predicted model, not a curated record
GCGCAAAGAAAGAUGUAAACAAAUCCAACAAUUUGGUUGUCGGACAAGAUUAAAAGUUGUAUUACUGCAUAAAACGCUACAUUCUGUCUAUCGAAUAAUCAAACUUGUCAUAUGAGAUUUACUCCUAAUUUGCUGAGAUUUCCUCAUGUGCUUGUAUAGGUUGUCUUACUAGAAAGAAUGGCAGACAAUUAUCAUGUGCUGGAGCUUAUUGGAGAAGGUUCCUUCGGGAAGGUUUAUAAGGGAAGGAAGAAAUAUACAGGACAGAUUGUUGCAAUAAAGUUUAUUCCAAAGGUAGGAAAGCCGGAGAAAGAGUUGAGGAAUUUACGUAGAGAGAUAGAUAUCAUGAGACACCUUCAUCAUGAGAACAUUAUAGAAAUGUCAGACAGUUUUGAUACUGACAA